ACCGGCCGCGCGGGAGAGCGCGGGGCAGGGCAACCUGAUCCGCCACCGAAGGAGCAACCGCCCCGGAAACUCUCAGGUCAAACGGACCGCGCAGGCUGG
This 99-nucleotide non-coding RNA is filed under the name Sphingopyxis sp. RNAcentral's name for it is "Glycine sequence". It matches the Rfam family "Glycine riboswitch aptamer". Rfam says of the family: This family represents the bacterial glycine riboswitch. The record is from RNAcentral. Lineage: Bacteria; Pseudomonadati; Pseudomonadota; Alphaproteobacteria; Sphingomonadales; Sphingopyxidaceae.